UUAGCAAUAGUCCUUAAAUGUUAACAAGAUUCCAUUUCGUGUUCACAUUUCCAGCACAUUUCUGAACUCUUUGCCUUUCCACUUAAAGAAAGAAAACUGGCCCUGAAAUAAGAAUGUCUCAGCAUUUGGUCAUAUCCUCACAGUCUGGCUCCUGAAAGGGCAGAUUUCUGAAUUUGGGCAGAAAUGCCUGGUCAUGAAGUCUCGGAGGCCAGUGAUCCCUUAGUAACCUUGCUCCCCCUACAGCCCUGGGCCUGGCCGGUGCUGUGCACCUAGUGGGAGCUAGUGCUGGGUUUCAUGUAAGGGUGAACCCAUGCAAGGGUGGAGAUGCAAGGAGUUGAGCUAACGCAGCAGGACUGGAGUGCAGCCCCCACGCUCUGAGUGGCUGUCCUUGGCUCUCCAUGCAGUGCUCCACCCGCCAGCUGCCUGGGCUUCCUCUGGGACCCUCUUCUCUCUCUUGCUUGGGAUACUUGACUGUGUUCCAGUGACUCCGUGGAACCCCACUUGGUGGGGCCUCCAGCCCUCUCCUUAGUCUUGCCAAUUUGCUGCUUAACAUACAGCAACAGUUGACUGGGGGGGGGGGGGGUUGAUGGGAGGGAGGGGGGCUGCUCACAUGUGCCAAGCGCCUCGCUCAUCUGUCCUCACAGCAGCAGCCCCGGGAGAUCAGGAUUGCUGUCAUUGCCAUUUCAUAGUGGAGGAGACUAAAGGAGGCAGCCUUUCUCCCUACUCCUGCUGCCCUAGAGAAAUGGAAGAGUGGGCAGAGGGGGAGUGAUAACCUAAGGGAAACGAACGACCUAAGCAGACACAGACGAGAGACACUGGCUGACUCCAGAAGAGAGAGAGGCAACACAAGGCUGAAAGGCCAAGCCAACAAAGGGAGAGGAACCAGAAUCUUCUGCCGGUGCUCAUGGAGUUUAUGAAUACAAGGCAUUAAAGUGCUGGCAAGAAGGAGGCCACAGCCGGCAGGCAGAGCCAUGGCGGCAGAAGAGGACCUGAGCAUCUGAAGAUUCUCACCGCAGCCCUGGUGUCCCUGGAAGAGGAGCUCCCUUCUGGAGAGGGAGGGCUGGGGACAGGGCUGCUCUCCCCCUGUGAGGGUUGACAUCGGCUGCCAGGCCCCGGGCUGAGGGUUGGGGCAGAUGGUGUUUCCUCCACGGUGUGUGUGGGCCUGGGCCCCACUGCUCAGGGAGGCAGUGGAAUCCGUCCCUCUCUGAGCAGACAGGUGGGGCAUUCACCAGAUUCCACCCUAAAGGCCGGAGCUCAGGGGAGGUGCGCGCACUGGGAAUAUAUUACUCGCAAAGGGAUGUGCUGUGGGGGGGGGGGGACUUGCCGCAGAGGGGGCUGCCUCUUGGAGGAGGCCGGGUGUCUUUAGACGUUCGCUCUCUGGCGGAAGACCGAGGCGGUUUUCCAGUAGAAGGCCUUUCCUUCCCGACACCCCCACUCCUGCCAGUGCGCGUUUUUGAAGGGGCACGGGGAAUGCAAGUGGUGCCUGAUCAUUUCAGGUGUCUGAAAGGCUGUUGGCUGCUGAGGAGCAACACAAACCCCACCUGUGGGGGGCCUCAGGGUCAGCCCCAUACUGAUAGAAGCAGGUGGUGCUUCUCGAUGGGCGCGGGCGCGGUGGCAGAGAAACCCAAGAAGUUGCAGCCGCGCCCCUCCUUGUCUGGAGUGAUGGGGGAGGGAGGAGAGGCGCAUCCUGGCUCUGCUCCCCAGCUGUCUGAGGCAGAUCGACUGGAGUCCAUCUGGCUGUCCCCCUCACCCCCCACCCCCGACCCAGGCUUGCCUCCCACCCUGGGACGUCAAUGCCAUUGGGUCCUGGCUGAGACCUUAGCGGCCUAGAUGAGGGGCAGCUAAGUCAAUGCACACCUGGGGCUGAGCUGCGUCCUGGGGUACCGGGGCCCAGGAGCACCAGGUGGACGUCCGUGGGGCUGCACUGUCUUUUCCUAGGCCCCGUGUGAUGGUGGCCACGUGCUGUUCUGGAAGUGCCAUCAAGGGCUCCCCCACCUUCUCCACACCUUGCUCUCUUGCCAGGUCCCAUCCGUUCCUCAUCACCAUCCCUGUACCAUGUUACUGCUACUUUGGAAAGGUAUUGUUGAUUAUAUAGAAGCUUGAGAGAAAUCUUUGCCUAUUUUAUAUUUUGCUUGUAUUUCUAAGCCUUCAGCCCUAGAGUCCAAGUCUUGGGGCCAAGCAUCCUUAAAAACUCUAGAACCAUGAGCCCCAGGGGCCCACAAAUCCUUAGGCCUGGGCCCUGUGGAGCUGCUCUGUCUCUGGUUGAAGGCAGGGCCUCCUUCCUGGCAGAGAGGCCUAUCCUAGCCAGGAGGAAUGAACGGUUAGGGGACUUAGGAGAAGGAUGGUGAACUUUCUUUUAAGUUCUCCUCUCAAUUCUGGCAGGAGGGCUGGGGACAAAGACCAGCCUCUUUGAUGUAGGGGCUUGGGGUGUUGAGGGGGGGGGAUUAGGAUCCUCGCAGCCUCUUGCCCUUCCCACCUGAGCGCAAAGAGUAGGCUCCUACACUCUGCGGUCUCGGGGCCGCCUCGUUCCUGCCACCUCCCUCUGCCCACAUAGCACGUUGUAUAAAUAUUUACACCCCCAGGCUGGCAGGAAUCUUUCUCUAGCCACUUCCCUGGUCUCUGGGAGAGCUCUUUCUCUCACUGAACAGCUGCAACAGAUCUGGUUGCCUUUGGUCGGACAAGGGCAGGCCCUGGUUUGGGGGCCCGUGGUCCCCACAGGGUGGAGGGUGCAUUUGGCAGGAGAAACUCAUCUUGGGAAAAGUCACAGGGCUGUGGCAAAGGUCCAUCCUCUCUCCCGCUGCCUAUGGGCGACCCUCCAACAGUUGUCUGAUCCCUGUUCUGGCUGGGAAGGUGAGUCCUGCUUCUCAAAGGAACAGCUCCCCAGGGCGGGGUUGGUCCCACUCCGGGCUGGAGGGAUAAUUCCAAAGCCAACUGGCUGGUGCUGGGACAAAAGAGAAACUUAGUUUCCUCGUGAGCACUUUACAGUUUGUGUCUGUAACCUUUAUUCUCCCCGAAGCAGCCACCUUCCCCUCCCAUCAGUGCCUGUUCAGUCUUUUGAACUGGGGGCUGGGGAGCGGAGAGGACGAGGAUAUGUCUGCCAUCUUCCCUGGUGAGCCAGGAAGCAGGAGUUUGCCAAAGAACGAGGCUGGCAUUUGUUGGGUUCCCAUGGGCCGAGCACUGUGUGAGGUACUUCCCCAUAUUCUCAUGUAAUUAUUUGAGUCAUAAGCCUAGCAGCUUGUUCAGCACGUGUCUCUCCUCUUCCUGCCCUUAGACAGCGGGCCGCACAACAGCAAGUUCCCAGACACGGGGCCCUGUGUUUCUCUGGGCCUUUCGGUUCAGUGAGUACCUCUGAGAGCCAGCCGGCAGAUACACAUCUCACCUCGCUUCCUGUGCCUCAGUUUCUCCCACAUCCGUGGGAGGUGAUUAACCUGUGUUCCAUAAAGCAUUCCAAAUUCAGACGAGAACAGGUGUUUAGAGAGCAACAUGAUGGUUUCACGUAACCCCUUUUUCUCCGUAUGGGUGUAAGCGUGUGACAGGUAUCAGGCACCGAGAAAAAUGUGUGUUCAGUGCUUGGGGGGAGGCUGAGAAGGAAGACAGGAUUCAAAAGACCUGGAUUUCGUAUACAAGAACCGCCCCCCCAACCCCAAAUGCAAAUAGCAGAGCCACAGAGGAUGGGGUAAGGGAUUGGGUAGGGGGUUCUGAUGGGGCCAGGGACAAAGGCCCCACACUUGUGCCAGAAAGCAAGCAAGCAGGUUCCAUCUCUCACUCCCACUCUCUUGGAAUGUUAGGACCCCUUCUGGAAAUGGGAGAAGAGUAGAUGUGAAAGGUACGUGGGUGAGACUGCUUGGUAUUCAGUGGGUAGAGAGCUACCCUCAGGUGAGGCGGGAGGGGGCUGGGUGGGCCUGCUGGGAGUGCACAGGGAGAAAGGUGGAAAACCACAGCUCAGAAGCCAUGCAGCCGUGAGAUGUUCCUGCUGCCUGCCUGCCUCCCCACCCCCAAAAGGUGAAACAAAACCCAAAUGAAAGCCUGACCCGGCAGAUAUUAAUACUCCAGAGCCAGGGCUGGUGUGCAAGCAGCCACCCCCCUCUUCCCCCUUGUGUUUCUAUAAGCGGCUGAAAUAAAUUUAGCGAAACAACCCCACCCAUCCGAGGGCCUAAGAUUUCAGAGCAGUGUGACUCUUUACCCUGAAAGCCCCUGUUUUUCAGAGCCAAGAGCUUUUUGUUUAGAUUCCCUUUUGGGAAUAGAAUGCUCUCAGUCUGAAAUAAUUAUUUUAUUGCGGUCAUCUUUUCCUGAUAGAUCAAUGCUUCGACACAGAAUGGCUUGCUAGAAAGCUGCAGUUUCAAGUGGCCAACUCCAUGGGGCUAAUGCCUGGUUGGAUCCACUGGGGUAUUUAUCGUCCAGUUAUUCUUCACAAUGUCUGAAUGUUCAGCCAAGUCCCUCUGCUGUCUGUCAUAAGGGCAGUGGUUAUGGCUGGAUAAGUUACUAAAGUAGAGAAUUGUUAACUGUGUGUUAGCUACCGUUGCAGGCACUGAAGGUUGAGUUGAGAGCAGAGAGACUGCUCUCAUGGAGUAUACAUCCUAGUGGGAAGGGAGAUGUCAAAAAGUUAAAUGACCAGGGGCACCUGGGUGGCUCAGUCGGUUGAGCGUCUGACUUUGGCUCAGGUCAUGACCUCACGGUCUGUGAGUCUGAGCCCCGCGUCGGGCUCUGUGCUGACAGCCUGGAGCUUGGAGCCUGCUUUGGAUUCUGUGUCACCCUCUCUCUCUGCCCACCCCCCCCCCCCACUCAUGCCCUGUCUCUCUCUGUCAAAAAUAAAUAAACAACAACAACAAAAAAGUUA
This is a long non-coding RNA of Leopardus geoffroyi (Geoffroy's cat), 4837 nucleotides long. RefSeq lists it as uncharacterized. The transcript is spliced from 3 exons. The record is from RefSeq and is a predicted model, not a curated record. NCBI's taxonomy places the organism in Eukaryota, Metazoa, Chordata, Mammalia, Carnivora, Felidae.